This 468-nucleotide ribosomal RNA is filed under the name uncultured bacterium. RNAcentral's name for it is "partial 16S ribosomal RNA". It matches the Rfam family "Bacterial small subunit ribosomal RNA", at positions 28 to 507 of the family's 1533-position model. The record is from RNAcentral.
GACGAACGCUGGCGGCGUGCUUAACACAUGCAAGUCGAACGGAAAGGCCCUGCUUUUGUGGGGUGCUCGAGUGGCGAACGGGUGAGUAACACGUGAGUAACCUGCCCUUGACUUUGGGAUAACUUCAGGAAACUGGGGCUAAUACCGGAUAGGAUCUCCUGCUGCAUGGUGGGGGUUGGAAAGUUUCGGCGGUUGUGGAUGUACUCGCGGCUUAUCAGCUUGUUGGUGGGGUAGUGGCUUACCAAGGCUUUGACGGGUAGCCGGCCUGAGAGGGUGACCGGCCACAUUGGGACUGAGAUACGGCCCAGACGCCUACGGGAGGCAGCAGUGGGGAAUAUUGCACAAUGGGCGGAAGCCUGAUGCAGAAACGCCGCGUGCGGGAUGACGGCCUUCGGGUUGUAAACAGCUGUCGACUGUGACGAAGCGUGAGUGACGGUAAUGGGUAAAGAAGCACCGGCUAACUACGUG